Molecule: long non-coding RNA, 265 nt
Organism: Macrosteles quadrilineatus (aster leafhopper)
Lineage: Eukaryota; Metazoa; Arthropoda; Insecta; Hemiptera; Cicadellidae
Exons: 3
Source: RefSeq, a predicted model, not a curated record
ACGGAGAUGGAGAAGAUGCGUAUAUAAGUGUUGUUGGACGUGGUCGCUGUAUCUGUAGAGUGUAAACCCCCCAGGAGAUGGGUCCUGUCAUAGCCUGCCUCUGGGCGCUACUGCUGGUGACGUCAGCAGUAUGUGGCCCAGUGCCGAGCCCAGCGCCAGACCCAGCAGCCAAACCCGCCGACACCAGGCAGAAGAAAUCGGUUGACACACAAAUCCAACGGAGAGAUGGAGGAGGAGGUGGCUGGGACUCCGGUGGUGGAGGAGG